RNAcentral lists this long non-coding RNA (841 nucleotides) under Fragaria vesca (wild strawberry). RNAcentral's name for it is "long non-coding RNA (FVES_LNC003068)". Lineage: Eukaryota; Viridiplantae; Streptophyta; Magnoliopsida; Rosales; Rosaceae. The record is from RNAcentral.
ACCCCCACAGAUUAAGUGUAAUUUGAUCAUCAAUCAUGAAAAACUAAUGAAUCAUCCCCUCGAAACUUUAGUUAUAUGAGGCUACGAUUCCUCUCAACUUGAAGCAUACAAUAUUUCAAAAGUGCAAAAGCCAACCUGUAAAGACAAUAAUACCAGUCCCAUACGGAAGAAGAUCGCAAAAAAUCCCAAAGGCUGGCGGAGUAGCAUAUAUGCAUGCAGCAAGGUCUUUUCAUCAAUCUGGUUCACAUAAAAUGAGAGAAGAAAGCCUAGUGUUGAAAUGAUCCCUACCCAACUCAUGAAGCAAAAAAUCCACAUGCAAUCGAGUGCAAGACAUGAUCUCCUUCAUCUCCAAUUCUCCAUCACUAGCUGUAGGUGCAUAUAAGAAACACGUACAGUGUGAGCAAGACUAAUGGAGUUGGAUGAAUAUGGACGUUGACUCAGUUAUUAUAUAUGAAAAUGGGGUUGCUGAGCAACAAAGCAUGACAUCAGAGAAGCACAGCAGAAAUGAUCGAGUCGAGGCAUGCCACUACCGAAAGGUAUGAACAUUUUGACUUGUUUUUGGGGAUGAUUAAAGGGUAUGAAAAUGAUGUAAUUGCCCUCUGCCAUAGUCCCAUCAGUAGUCGCAGUUUAGUGGUGAAUGGAGACGGGUAUUAGGUACAGCGCGAGAAAAUCGUAACGUGUUUUGAGUUUAGGUUGGAAGAAUCACUUACUAGUUAGGAGAGAGCCUUGACCCUACCCUGAUGUGGUUUGGGUAAUUAUGGACUUUAACGUGCAUCUUGUGUUUGGAUUACUCACAACAACGUACAACUUCGUCUAAUUAAGAAAGGAAAUAGGAAAAUCU